GAUGAAGAACGUAGCGAAAUGCGAUAAGUAAUGUGAAUUGCAGAAUUCAGUGAAUCAUCGAAUCUUUGAACGCACAUUGCGCCCGCCAGCAUUCUGGCGGGCAUGCCUGUUCGAGCGUCAUUUCAACCCUCGAGCCCCCCCGGGGGCCUCGGUGUUGGGGGACGGCACACCAGCCGCCCCCGAAAUGCAGUGGCGACCCCGCCGCAGCCUCCCCUGCGUAGUAGCACACACCUCGCACCGGAGCGCGGAGGCGGUCACGCCGUAAAACGCCCAACUUUCUUAGAGUUGACCUCGGAUCAGGUAGGAAUACCCGCUGAACUUAAGCAUAUCAAUAAGCGGAGG
Molecule: unclassified non-coding RNA, 342 nt
Filed under: soil metagenome
Description: partial contains 5.8S ribosomal RNA, internal transcribed spacer 2, and large subunit ribosomal RNA
Rfam family: 5.8S ribosomal RNA (bases 1-120)
Source: RNAcentral